Molecule: transfer RNA, 69 nt
Filed under: Ictidomys tridecemlineatus (thirteen-lined ground squirrel)
Lineage: Eukaryota; Metazoa; Chordata; Mammalia; Rodentia; Sciuridae
Also listed under: 1 other name
Description: Spermophilus tridecemlineatus (thirteen-lined ground squirrel) tRNA
Rfam family: tRNA
About the family: Transfer RNA (tRNA) molecules are approximately 80 nucleotides in length.
Source: Rfam by way of RNAcentral
GGGGUUGUGGCUCAGUGGUAGAGCACUCGUCUUGUGCAUGUGAGGCCCUGGGUUCAAUCCUCAGCACCA